Cercocebus atys (sooty mangabey) is the source of this 107-nucleotide small nuclear RNA. The record is from Ensembl. NCBI's taxonomy places the organism in Eukaryota, Metazoa, Chordata, Mammalia, Primates, Cercopithecidae.
GUGCUUGCUUCGGCAGGAUAUAUACUAAAAUUGGAAGGAUACGCAAAAUGGUAGCACGGCCCCUGUACAAAGAUGUCAAGCAAAUUUGUGAAGCAUUCCAUAUUUUU